AGUGUUAUGAUGAUGAUGUUGGAGAAGUCUUUUGUGGGAAAAUAUUUUCGCAUCGAUGUGAUUGGUGACUGGCCAUUCUUCUUGAAUGGAAAGCUUUUGAUGUACAAAGCCUGUUGAUUUGUAAUUCAAUGACCUGAAUUAAAUACACAGUACUCCUGCACUGUGUGGCAUCAAUCAGGCUUUAUUUUUGCGAAAUGCAGGGUAGGAAAGGCUCUUGCAUUGGCUUUAAAAGCAUGUUGCUGAUCAUACUAAACAUAUGUGCUACAACCUUUGUUACCUUUGUUACAUUUGUUGACUGCAAGUGCCCAGAAAUAGGAACCAUUUACUCUAAAAUGACUGUUCUGAAUGGGUUUUAUUUCUAUCAAUUAUUACAAAUUUGCAAGUAGAUGGAACAGAGCAGUGGGUGUGUUAACUUGCAUCUCUCUACCUUGCUUGGUGACAUGUAGUUUCUUUUAAAAGGCCAACAAUUUCUCUUUCUAUAGACAAUAAGGGAGUGCUUGUGUCCCUCUCUCCAAGACUGUCCGCACAGUGUGGAUAUAGCUUAACCGUUGACUUUUUAGGAAAUGCCAAGUUCCUUGCUUCUGAGCUGUUUUGCUUGGAACACAGUCAGUCAAUUUAAUUUCUUGUAAACAUGUUUCUAAUGGUGACAUGUUGUGAUUUAACUUUGACUUCUAUGACUUCAACUUCCUCCUAUGUUCAGAGCAUGACAUGCCCUUAUUCUCCAUGGGCGGAGAGGGAAAUUCUGUGUGUAAGAAACUACAUGGAGGUAAGGGCUGUCGGGAUUUGAGUGUUGGGUGGGGGUGGGUGUGUCUUUUUUUUGUGUGUUUGUGGUGUUACUACAGAAGUGCUUCAUUCCUGACUAAUCUCAAGAAGAGGUGUGCCACUGACUGAACCAAACAUUGUUCAAGAUUAUCCUGACUUGUCCCCUGCAUACCCUGAGGCAACUGCUGUUGACAAUAGCAUCUGGAAAAUCAUGUUCCAUCUGCCAGAAAAUAGAAAGAAGGCUAUGACUGUUGCUCAGGCUAUGAAAUAAACACUACACCAACUCAAAUUCUGGUCAGAGCUGCAUACAACUCCAUAGAAAGCCAGCCUCGGGUGGUGAUCAGUUCUUCAGGCAUCAGAAGCAGGCUUGACUUUACCUUGAAGGAUAUUAAGACCAUGGUUGUGGUGGUUAACUUCUCUCUGUCCUGCAGUUUCCGUACAAAGAUGAUUGAUUCAAACUACAAUGACCUCCUAUGGAGCUCAGGAUUACCCUGCUGAAGUACUUAAGAAGACCUUUGUAUUUUGAGGUAGAUCUCCUGUACAGCAGGGAUCCUCAGGCUGAAUUGUUUUUUGGAAAACUGCUGGGCAACCUAUUCUGUUGACUGGAAUAGCUCUCCAAAGUGGGAUAUGUUGUGGACAGGUCACAGUGCUGAAUGGAUGGUGGUGCAAUAAAGACACUUGUGUCUUCUGGCCCAAUUGAGCUGAAGAGAGAUGAAUCCCUUUGCUUUAUGCCAAGACACGCCCAAGUCAGCGUGGUCCCUUCUGGGAGCUGCAAUGGGGUGUGUUCAGUGGCUGUCUCUGUAGCUGGAGUUAUCUUCUUGGAAAGUCAGCAUGGUCCCUUCUGGGAGCUGCAAUGGGGUGUGUUCAGUGGCUGUCUCUGUAGCUGGAGUUAUCUUCUUGGAAAGUCAGCGUGGUCCCUUCUGGGAGCUGCAAUGGGGUGUGUUCAGUGGCUGUCUCUGUAGCUGGAGUUAUCUUCUUGGAAAGUGUAUUAAUAAAUCUUGUUUGUAAAGUCUGGCUAUGUGUGGGGUGGGUUGUGUGUUGUUGUUUUUUUGUUUUUUUGUAUAUGUUUUCUUUCUCUUGCACCAUCUAGUGGUUACAUUACAAACCUGCAAGAUAUUUUAUUAAUAAA
This is a long non-coding RNA of Acipenser ruthenus (sterlet), 1891 nucleotides long. RefSeq lists it as uncharacterized. The transcript has 6 exons. The record is from RefSeq and is a predicted model, not a curated record. NCBI's taxonomy places the organism in Eukaryota, Metazoa, Chordata, Actinopteri, Acipenseriformes, Acipenseridae.